GUUUUGUAGCUUGGUGGUAGAGCAUCUGCCUUGCAUGCAGAAAGUCCCAGGUUCAACCCCUGAUAUCUCCA
Non-coding RNA from Podarcis lilfordi (Lilford's wall lizard), 71 nucleotides. The record is from the annotation of a GenBank genome assembly. NCBI's taxonomy places the organism in Eukaryota, Metazoa, Chordata, Lepidosauria, Squamata, Lacertidae.